Long non-coding RNA from Dicentrarchus labrax (European seabass), 3839 nucleotides. RefSeq lists it as uncharacterized. NCBI's taxonomy places the organism in Eukaryota, Metazoa, Chordata, Actinopteri, Moronidae. The record is from RefSeq and is a predicted model, not a curated record. The transcript has 2 exons.
UCUGUGCUCUGAUGUGUUUCUUUGUUUUCUGUCUGUGCCAUGUCUGAGUCCUUCAGACCGCCUGAGACUUGAAGAGCGAGACGUCCGCUAUGCUGGAACUCAGAAGAGAUUCACCUCCUCUGGUUUUUUAUUUUACUUUUACUUUACACACUUUUUUUAAAAUCUGCUCUUUGCUGUAGAAACUGAUGUGACUGUGUCAAAGCGUAACAAAGUGCUACGUGAGUAAUUUAUUCAGUUUAUAUAAACUUUUUUUUUGUAUCUUUUUCUUUUAGUCAGUGACUAAUAUUUGAUAUGCUGAUAUUUGGUGCAGCAGGUGACGUUUGUUUUUUGGACAAAAAUGUCUGCCUUUGUUUCUAAAGGCCUUCAAGUGUUUGUCAGGACUGAUGGGAAAUGUUUGUCAGUCAGUUUCGGGUGGAUCUCCUCCUCGCUUUGACUUUCAUCUGCUCUCAUUUCAAACUAACAGCCACGAGUUGAAUCCGACCACAGUGCUUAUUAACAUACACCAUUUAAACUGAGACGGAUGUUUAAGUCUUUUAUUGGUUCAUUUAGAUUUCAUCAACGGUCUUAACAAUAUAAGAUAUUCCUUUAUUGAAAUGUGUCACAGCAGCAGCAGGGAAAGAAUGAAAAUACAAUAAAAUAUAUAAAAAUAUUAAAAAAUAAAUACACUUUUACAAUAAAAAAGUGGAAUAUGGUCCAGAUGGAUAACUGGAUGUAUUUUUUAUUCUAUAUGUAUAUUAAAUACAAACCAAAAAAAAGGAAAAUCUUCAUAUUUAGGAAGCUUUAAACAGCAUAAGGAUUAUAAAUAGGGUAUAAUUUACAUUAAAUGUAAAACAUGAUGCAUUUUCUGUGAUACCAAACAGUUUCAGGGCUACAUGUUUUUGUUUUGUUAAAAAUUAGACAUUAAUGCAACAAUAAAUCAGUAUUUCUGGUUUCUGAUGGGAAUAACUUGAACAAGUUGAUUGGCAAAAUCUGUGAACAGCUUUUCUUAGUUUGUGUAUUUAAAUAUAAGAAUCAUAAUCCAUAUUUAUUAUGAAUUUAUUAUAUUAAAGUAUCAUUAUUAUGCUAAUUAGGGUUGAGUGAGUGUGAGUAUCAAACAUUACGUACACGUGGUGAAGAUUUAACUUCCUGUGAGUUGAGUUUGGAUGCAUCAGGUGAGGAGGAGGAGGAGGAGGAGGAGGAGGAGGAGACCACCUGAGACAUUUCGAUGCACCUUUAGAUUUCCGUGCUGCUCAGUGAUGGACUUUGUGCUGAGACAGCUGGCUCAGAAAAUAUCCAAACCAAGUCUGGGUUGCACCAGUGAGGAUAAAGGAGAUCCUGUAACAGUCAACAUUAAAAACAAAAAGGUUUUUCAAAUGUUUGUUCAGCCUGAAGAAUUCAUAACUCCCAAUGAAACUCCACAAGGUUCCUUCAUGUCUGAAAUCUCUACAUUUAGGUUGGAACUGGGUUUAAUUUAAGGUUUUGAAUUUGAGCUAAAAAGACUAAUCAAAGUAAUAGUUCAACAUUUUGAGAAACAGGUUUAAUUCCAGCUAGUUAGCUUAGCAUAAAGACUGGAAACGGGGGGAAACAGCUAGCCUGGAGGAUCAAAACGGUAACAAAAUGUGUCUAACAGCGCCUCUAAAGAUCACUAAUUCACACCUGAGAGCAAAGAAGUCGCUGCACUCGGCCUGAACGCUGUCCAACUGACUCCUUUAAAAGCACAAAUGAUCAGUUUCACCCUUCAGUGGGUGUAACCUGUUAAUCAGUGAGUGUUACAGGUGCUGGGAGGUGGAGUUUAUCUCCCCUGGAUGGAGCCAGGCUAGCUGUUUCCCCCUGCUUCUCAAACUGUUGAAUUAUUCCAUUAUAAGUACCUGCAGGCUCUGACUUUGUUUCCUGAAUAUCAACUAACCGAUGUGAAUCCUUGGUGGUGCAACCAUCUUCAGUGAGUUAUAGGCCUGUUGUUCUUUGCUAUAAAAUAUUUAAUGUUUUUAUGAGUAAGUUAUUCCAGUGUGUGUAGUUUCCAUUUAACAAUAUUAUUGGGACCAAAACUGGAGACCGGUGAGAGGACGAAGCUCAGAAUGAAUUUAUCUGUGACAGUCAGCACUUAAAGUAACGACACCAACAAUACGUCAUAUUUAUUCUAGAAAAGAUUAUAUAUACACACAUUUAUAUAUAUAGAAUUUAUUAUUUAAAGUGAUGGAGGCAUGGUUGGAUCAGCACAGUCGUUUUCUGUGCAGGUGAACAAACAACAACGGUGCACAGGAUGAAAAUAUCAUCAGACCUUACUGCCACUACGUUGAGGAUUAAACAGAACACAGUCGGGGUAUUUUUAACUGUUUGAGUUCAGCAUUAUAGAUAUACGAGUGUCACCAAACUAUACUGGGAAAUAAAUCUUCUGAGAGCAAUAGUGCUUGAAGAACUGCAGCCGUUAUGUGUGUGUGGGUAUCAGACAAUGUGUAAUUCAUUCAUAAAGUCAAAACAUACAAAAUCAGAUCAGUUUCUUAAAGGUUCUCACACAAAAACCUUAUUCAGAGACUAGUUUGCUAUAGGAAACACCUUGAAAUAGAUUAUUUCCAGGAUAUUUGGUCAUUUUAAAUCAACGUUCUUCUGAAAUAGUAUUUUCACUGAGAUCUUAGUUUUAAAGGAAACCUGGUAAACUGUAGUUUAAUCACCGGAGAUGUAAAGGUGGAACCCGUAAACGCUGAUAACCGACCUGUAACAGACCUGAGACACUUCAUAAUAAACCUGCAUCUUUAGAAAGAGAAACAAUGUGUAAACUAGGCUUAUCGCUAAAUUAUAUGACCGUUUGUGAGCAACUGCUGUCCUGUAUCGUCAAGAAAACUCCUGGAAAAUGUCCUGGAAAGUUCUUGGAAAAUCAUUUCUUAAAAACACACAGUUGUUAGGGGGUCUGCGUAUUUACAAAAUACUGUGACGUAUUUAUUGCAGAAUUAAAAUCGAUAUUUAUUCAGAUAUUUUGAUACCAAAAGGCUGUAAAAUAUGGCGAGCUCUUAUUUUGAAAUGUGUUGUGAGGGAUUCAUUCUAAUGCUGAAAUCAAACAGUUAAAACCUCAACCAGGUACAAGACAUUUAAUCCAACUGUUAUUUGGUUUAAAGCUUUACACCAAAACUGACAGAUCAGUCUCAUCAUAAAGUUUAAACAUUAUUUACUGUAACGUCAUUUCGACAUCACGUUAAACUGAAGAAAGUCCUGAUCCUUCAAAAACAACUAAAAUAGAAAAAAGAAGACAUUUUAUUCUCUGUUGCUGCUCGGUUGAAGAGUUAAAGUCAUUUUAUGUGUGAAAUGUAUUUUUCAUAUGACGAGUGCGUCGAUGUAAAUCAGUAUUUUGUAAAAUCCUCACAGAUGAUGUACAGUUUGUAAGUUACCGACGGAGAAAGGUCCGGCUGUUUGGACGCUGUGCUGAGAACAGACGUCAUGUGACUGUUUCUUUUAGGAGGUUUUGAUGGUGUGAAACCUUCAGAUUCUGGAGGGAGAGAGUUUGUUCUUUUCAUACUUUUAAUUUUUGCCCUCACACUUUAAUGCUGUGUGUUUCUUUUGUUUCGAGAACCAACCUGUUGUUUGUCUUUCAACCAUUUCUGUCUUACUGACUGUUGGUUACUUUCUUGCUUUUCUUUAUUCUCUCUCUCUCUCUCUCUCUCUCUCUCUCUCUCUCUCUCUCGGGAGUAGUGCUGUGCCUUAGCUGUACUCCUGUUGUAGGAAAUCCUCUGAAAGCAUCAAAAAACGGUCUCAAAUGUUCAAAAACCAAAAAAAAAGAUAAUAAAAAGAGAAUUGUUGUGAAUGCCUUAUAAAUGACCUUAGUGGUUUUGAAGUACAACUUUUGAAAAUAAAAACAGAAUCUCCCUUUA